UACAGAGGGGGCAAGCGUUGUUCGGAAUUACUGGGCGUAAAGGGCGCGUAGGCGGCCUUCUAAGUCGAACGUGAAAUCCCCGGGCUCAACCCGGGAACUGCGUCCGAUACUGGAAGGCUUGAAUCCGGGAGAGGGAUGCGGAAUUCCAGGUGUAGCGGUGAAAUGCGUAGAUAUCGUGAGGAAGACCAGUGGCGAAGGCGGAUCUCUGGACAGUUCCUGACGCUGAGGCGCGAAGGCCAGGGGAGCAAACGGG
This 253-nucleotide ribosomal RNA is filed under the name uncultured bacterium. Its description in RNAcentral is "partial 16S ribosomal RNA". It matches the Rfam family "Bacterial small subunit ribosomal RNA", at positions 524 to 776 of the family's 1533-position model. The record is from RNAcentral.